GAAAGCUUGUGUCUUCAUCGGACUGUUGCUUGGGGAUUAAUGCCGACCGACUUGUUGGUUGCCAAUUGGGCCGGCCCAUCUUUGUGCGCGCGGGCCAAAAACUUAGCGCCAAGCUUCCCUCCUAUUUUUUAAUUCAGCCUUUGACUAAAUCCAAAUUCCCCAUUCCCCAAACCCAAAUCCACUCACGCACUCCCUUCGCCGCCGACCGCUAGCUAUCUGGCAACCUGCACGCCACCGACCGCCCGACGUCUCCAGCAUGCCGUCACCGUGGUAGCAAGGUUGCUGCCCUGUCUCCUUCAUCCUCCUGCACUCACACUGCUUAGCCCCCAAACACUUCUAACCCUAGCUCGUGCGCUGGAGUUCAGGGAGAGGCCAAGGCGCGGUGGUGGACGCCGCCGUCCCUCUUAGAUCCGGGGCUGAGAGAGAGAGAGAGAGAGGUGGGUCACCUGCGAGAGAGAGCACUCGCACCCUCGCUCGUCACCUGGGAGCCGCCACCACAGCUGCCACGCCAUGGGCUUCCUCAGAUCUGUGCCAGCCGGUUCGUUUGAAGAGGGAUCUGGUCGUUGACUGUUGGUGCUUCCCCUCCCCCGACGAUCAGCCAUGACUUGGGCUGGGAGCUCAAGCUCAAGCAGAAUGUCAAAAACAGGGGCUCUAUCUGCUAAUGGGGUAGCCGGCAAUGCAGUCUAAGAGCUGGCUACUACUAAUGUGAUUUCUGGAUUUGAGAGGAUGAGAACUUGAGAAGAACAAGCUUGAUACUACGAUUGCAAAAAGAGUCUAUACUACAGGAGAAAUCUACUCAGUUUCUGAAUCCUGAGCAGUAGCAAGUCAGGUGCUUAAUGGUGAUCCUACCAUGCAUAUGGCAUAAGCAAGUUAGUUCUAAAAAGGUCAUUGUUAAUUCGCCCACAUCUGUCCCGCAAUUGCCAAAACUUAGUGCAGUGAGAUCAGAGGACGGUCAUCAAUUUAAUCUAAUUUGUGGCACUGAAGUAUAGAUGCUUUUCUCCGAUGCUUUUAUGGAUAUAAUAGUCAGAUGCAGUGAAUGACAUACAAGAGGACCAGGAAGUAAGCAUGCAUGAAGAUGGCAGUUUGCGUCAGCUAGGCAUUUUGUGUAAUGAAGCAAAAACAUUGUGUAUUUUAUCAUUUUGUAAACCUAUAUGGUGUCUUGUCAAUUGGGUAUUUUGUGUAAUGGAUCAACCAAUGAAUCAUUGGACAUGCAUCUAUCAUUUUGUAAACCAAUCAGGUGUCUUGGUGAUUGAAACAUAAAUGCUUCCUCCUUUUAGUUAGUUACUUUUACCUAUAAGAAUAUCCUGUGUUGCAAUGAGAUAUGCAACUUGAUUGAUAUUGUUUGGAAAGGCACAAGCCAAAUAACGGUUUGGUAUUAAUAUAUCUUGCUUGGCUAAACAAAAUGCUAUCAAACUGUUGGUCGGCAAAAGAUAACAACGUCCUAUUGUUGGUUGGGAAAUGUUUA
Long non-coding RNA from Triticum aestivum (bread wheat), 1465 nucleotides. RefSeq lists it as uncharacterized. The transcript is spliced from 4 exons. Lineage: Eukaryota; Viridiplantae; Streptophyta; Magnoliopsida; Poales; Poaceae. The record is from RefSeq and is a predicted model, not a curated record.